This 468-nucleotide ribosomal RNA is filed under the name uncultured bacterium. RNAcentral describes it as "partial 16S ribosomal RNA". It matches the Rfam family "Bacterial small subunit ribosomal RNA", at positions 28 to 507 of the family's 1533-position model. The record is from RNAcentral.
GACGAACGCUGGCGGCGGGCUUAACACAUGCAAGUCGAACGGAAAGGCCCUGCUUUUGUGGGGGGCUCGAGUGGCGAACGGGUGAGUAACGCGUGAGUGACCUGCCCUUGACUUUGGGAUAACUUCAGGAAACUGGUGCUAAUACCGGAUAGGAGCUCCUGCUGCAUGGUGGGGGUUGGAAAGUUUCGGCGGUUGGGGAUGGACUCGCGGCUUGUCAGCUUGUUGUUGGGGUAGUGGCUUACCAAGGCUUUGACGGGUAGCCGGCCUGAGAGGGUGACCGGACACAUUGGGCCGGAGAUACGGCACAGACUCCUCCGGGAGGCAACAGUGGGGAAUAUUGCACAAUGGGCGGAAGGCUGAUGCAGCAACGCCGCGUGCGGGAUGACGGCCUUCGGGUUGUAAACCGCAUUCGCCUGUGACGAAGCGUGAGUGACGGUACCGGGUAAAGAAGCACCGGCUAACUACGUG